AGUGAACGCUGGCGGUAGGCCUAACACAUGCAAGUCGAACGGCAGCACAGUAAGAGCUUGCUCUUACGGGUGGCGAGUGGCGGACGGGUGAGGAAUACAUCGGAAUCUACUUUUUCGUGGGGGAUAACGUAGGGAAACUUACGCUAAUACCGCAUACGACCUACGGGUGAAAGCAGGGGAUCUUCGGACCUUGCGCGAUUGAAUGAGCCGAUGUCGGAUUAGCUAGUUGGCGGGGUAAAGGCCCACCAAGGCGACGAUCCGUAGCUGGUCUGAGAGGAGGAUCAGCCACACUGGAACUGAGACACGGUCCAGACUCCUACGGGAGGCAGCAGUGGGGAAUAUUGGACAAUGGGCGCAAGCCUGAUCCAGCCAUGCCGCGUGGGUGAAGAAGGGCUUCGGGUUGUAAAGCCCUUUUGUUGGGAAAGAAAAGCAGCAGGUUAAUACCCCGCUGUUCUGACGGUACCCAAAGAAUAAGCACCGGCUAACUUCGUG
Molecule: ribosomal RNA, 492 nt
Filed under: uncultured bacterium
Lineage: Bacteria
Description: partial 16S ribosomal RNA
Rfam family: Bacterial small subunit ribosomal RNA
Source: RNAcentral